GAUGUCGCCAAGCGGUAAGGCAUCAGACUUUGACUCUGACAUGCGUCGGUUCGAAUCCGGCCAUC
This 65-nucleotide transfer RNA is filed under the name human gut metagenome. It matches the Rfam family "tRNA". From Rfam's summary of the family: Transfer RNA (tRNA) molecules are approximately 80 nucleotides in length. Their secondary structure includes four short double-helical elements and three loops (D, anti-codon, and T loops). Further hydrogen bonds mediate the characteristic L-shaped molecular structure. tRNAs have two regions of fundamental functional importance: the anti-codon, which is responsible for specific mRNA codon recognition, and the 3' end, to which the tRNAs corresponding amino acid is attached (by aminoacyl-tRNA synthetases). tRNAs cope with the degeneracy of the genetic code in two manners: having more than one tRNA (with a specific anti-codon) for a particular amino acid; and 'wobble' base-pairing, i.e. permitting non-standard base-pairing at the 3rd anti-codon position. The record is from RNAcentral.